GCAGCCGCGGUAAUUCCAGCUCCAAUAGCGUAUAUUAAAGUUGUUGCAGUUAAAAAGCUCGUAGUUGAAUUUCGGGAUCAGCAGGUUGGUCUUGCCACUGGUAUGUACUAGCUUGCUGAUUCCUCCUUCUUGUAGAACCGUAAUGCCAUUAAUUUGGUGUUGCGGGGAAACAGGACUGUUACUUUGAAAAAAUUAGAGUGUUUAAAGCAGGCCAGCGCCUGAAUACAUUAGCAUGGAAUAAUGAAAUAGGACGUUCGAACCUAUUUUGUUGGUUUCUAGGAUUGACGUAAUGAUUAAUAGGGAUAGUUGGG
RNAcentral lists this ribosomal RNA (311 nucleotides) under uncultured Glomus. RNAcentral describes it as "SSU rRNA". It matches the Rfam family "Eukaryotic small subunit ribosomal RNA", at positions 570 to 886 of the family's 1831-position model. Lineage: Eukaryota; Fungi; Glomeromycota; Glomeromycetes; Glomerales; Glomeraceae. The record is from RNAcentral.